Molecule: ribosomal RNA, 229 nt
Filed under: uncultured bacterium
Lineage: Bacteria
Description: partial 16S ribosomal RNA
Rfam family: Bacterial small subunit ribosomal RNA
Source: RNAcentral
CGUGUAGGCGGACUAGCCAGUCAGGCGUGAAAGCCCCGGGCUUAACCUGGGAACUGCGUUUGAUACUGUUAGUCUAGAGUUCGGGAGAGGAUGGUGGAAUUCCCAGUGUAGAGGUGAAAUUCGUAGAUAUUGGGAAGAACACCGGUGGCGAAGGCGGCCAUCUGGACCGAUACUGACGCUGAGGCGCGAGAGCGUGGGGAGCAAACAGGAUUAGAUACCCUGGUAGUCC